RNAcentral lists this ribosomal RNA (1726 nucleotides) under Triticum aestivum (bread wheat). Its description in RNAcentral is "partial small subunit ribosomal RNA". The record is from RNAcentral. Lineage: Eukaryota; Viridiplantae; Streptophyta; Magnoliopsida; Poales; Poaceae.
GCGAUCCUCGGCUAUCUUCCCAUGUCGCCAGUGCAAGAUUUCCUCAUGUCUUUGAUUUUGCUCACACGGUUUGUAGCUUUUUGAAUCGCUGGUAGCAGCUUUUUGACUAAACCAGUUGAAUCCUUUUUAAAUCACUUCUAGUUGUAGCUUUCGUCUAAAUGGAUGGUUUCUUUUGCAUCUUUUUCCCCAAAAUCACCGGUUCCAGCUUCCCCAAUCACCGGUUGAAGCUUUUUAUUCAGCGGGUUGUAGCUUUUUUGGAUUUUUCAAUCCAGUGCUGGAACCACUAGUUGGGCAUGUUACAAGCAGGGGCAUUUUUUGCUGGAACCAUGUUCUUUCUUUGCUUGAACCGGUCCUAAUUUUUGCUACCACCUUGUGUUUUGAUUUUGCUGGAACCAGUCUAAAAAUUGCUAUCACCGUCUUUCGAUUGUGCUGGAACCGCAUUAUUUUUUUGCUGGAACCGCCUUUUUCUUUUGCUUCAACCUACCAUGGUUGUUUUUGUUGCUGAGAUUUUUUUGCUGGAACUAGCUUUAAUUUUUGCUGGAACCAUCUAAAAUUUUACUGCUAUGGCGGUGGCGGCGGCGAGAAGUAUUUGUGUGUUUUGCUGGAACCGGAGAUUUUGUUUUGCUUCCACCUACGGCAUUUUUUGUUGCCACCAGCGACGACCUACGGCGGCGAGCGAGGGACUGCUGCUGCAAGCAGGCGGUGAGAUUGCAGAUCGUCAAGGAAAGGGAGGUUGGGACCCAAAGAAGGUCAUGCUGUAAUCUCGACGGAUGUGCGGCGAGCGACGACAAGCUGGUUGUGCCGCGACGGCGCGGCGGAGCUGCGGUGGGGGUGGGGACUCGAGCGCUGCAGGAUGGGCGGGUGGCCACACGCGGUGAGGCGGACAAAGCACGACGAUGCAGCAGAAACGCGUGGGUGGAGGAGAUCGGGAUGAAAGGGAACGGUCCCACGGGAACCAAUCUGACGGUGGGUGGUCGACCGGCCCAAAAUUGGGCCGGUGCACCGGCGCAGAUUACUCCUCUCAUUAUCAAUACACAAGUUUCAUUAUAACUUUACAUUACGGCGCGAUCUGUUGACCAAGCGAGCGGCAUAGUAAUUACGACGUUGGCACUCCACCAGAACGCCGGUUAGCAACGAUUACCCAUCGCUGAUUCUUAAGUUAUGGCAAUAUACGUAUCUAAUCUUGCUGCUCUCAAUUGUGACUGUGAUGGCAGAAAGAGAAAAACCAAUCAUCUAUGUAGUGUAUAGUGGCACGGAACAUCGAUUAUUCUUCCAUGAUAAUCCGCUUGGAUCUUCCAUGGGAACAAACACGGCACACGCCGGGGGCUCUGGGGCUAGAACCGGCCAGCAGCCUGCCACUUUCUCGAGUACAAGUACGGGCAGAUGGAGCUCCCGUCAUUCCCCUCCGAUCAGUAGCAGGAGGUCACUUGGGGCGCCUUGGUGACGAACUCCCGAAGUGUCGUUCACGCCGAAGCAGCGGUGGGCCGGUGGCCCGCCUCGUCGAGCUGCACCGGCUUAGUCUUUCUCACCGCCGCCACAUGGACUGUCUCGGCUGCCCGCCGCCUGCUAUGGUGAACGUCUACGACUCACCUACAGGGUGGAUGCGCUGAUGGACAUGGUCUAGGAGACGAGGGCCCCGACCGAUGCUGGAAGGGAGGAGAUGCCUCGUACGCGCUGGCGGUGUCCGGGGAGAAGGGAAGCAAGCUACGGCCACGACGUAACACGA